AGGUAAAAGUACCUACAUCACUAGUUUUUAAUUUCUUUUGUAAAUCUAUUAAGACAUGAUGUGAUUUGGCCCUUGCUCUCAAGCCUUGAUGAUGAUAUCAUGCUUUUGAAGUUUUUGUUUGGGUCACAUUUGAAAAAAAGAGCUCUCAAUAAGUAGUUCCAUAGAGAGAUUUGUUUUAGGAUAUUAAUUAAUGACUUUGGAUGGAUACUUAGGCCUUUCCACUGUCAUUCUCUCUCUCUCUCUCUCUCUCUCGUGUGUGUAUUUUCUUCUAUUUUUCUUUUCCAAGCAUCUUGACAUAUUUGCAUAUUUAUUCUCUUGAUUUGGAGGAGCUUUUUGUUGGGAUUGGCAAAAAAAUUUCUUAUCGACUUUCUUAUGAAAGUAUGUUUUGGGAUUUUGGAUGUUAUUGAAAUAUGCCACUAAUGGAAAACAGUUUUUGCUCAUGUUGUCUUCUUACCUUCACUUCGGUAUUAUUAUUAUAUGUUCUUUUACAGUUAAUACGGCGCAGAAGUUGGUUUAAUUGAUUGCAUUAGUAGGCUAAGCAAGAAUCUGCUUUGCUCGUUUUCGGUGGAAAUAAUGUAACUACCUGUUGACUUUUUUCUUUAUUAUCAACUAUGGAUGAGCGCUCAUAGAACUCCUAAGCAACCUAGAUCUUUUGGAUGAUAUUGCCUUUGUGAAGUUGGGCUAGCUGGAUGAUAUUUCCUUUGUGACCUCCCAAGCAUUUCAUCAUUUUUAUUGUUAAAUUUCUAUUUGUUUAUUAUUGUGCUAACUAAGAUUGUAGAAAAUUGAUGUAGAACUUCUGUUGAAAUCAUAUUUUUUUGCUUGUCUUGUUGAA
Molecule: non-coding RNA, 832 nt
Organism: Camellia sinensis
Lineage: Eukaryota; Viridiplantae; Streptophyta; Magnoliopsida; Ericales; Theaceae
Source: RefSeq, a predicted model, not a curated record